GGAAGUGACACAAUGAUUAAUAUUGGUCAUGUUUCAUAGUUGCAGACAUGAGAUGAAAUGAGAUGCUCAUUUAGUUAUUGAAUUUGACACAGCACAAGGUUCUUAGCAGAGAAGACUAUAAAUGGAAAGGUUGUAUAUUGUGAAAAGUUUCACAAGUUUUUACAUACCAUAUUUUCAUAUACUAGCUGCAUGCAAACAUGUCCACUAGAAUUUUGACAUGUACAUUUACCUCUUAUACGAAUCGGAUAUAAAUUUUACGAUAAUUUAAUUGAGAAGCUUAAACACAAUAAAUACUAGCCACAACAUAAAGGUCCAGAAGUUUGUUUUAUCAACCAUAAAAAAAUCCAUAAGUCAGCCAAAUUUAACAACUGAAGAAGUUCUAAAGGACAUUCAAAAUCAUAAAAAAAAUAACAUUUUAAACACAAAAUUUCAUUCUUAAAUGUUUUAUGUAAGGGCUUCAGAAAAAUAAAUAAGCCACUGGGCCUAAUAAGGGCAGCGGGCCCACUCGAAUUGGUCACAUGGCCUUGAGAGGGGUCCCUUUCCCCAAUUUAGAUUUUCAUUUCCUCAUUUCUCUUCUCUCUCUAGAACUCAGAUUUCUUAUUUUCUCUGACUUCUCUCUAACCUUGCUCCACCUUCUCUAACCUUACUCCACCUUCUCUGUACCAAUUUCUCAAAUUUCCACCGUUGUUAUUUCAAAUAGGUGGUCCCCCUACGUUCCCGGAGUUGAGAGCUUCCAAUCCAUCUGAUUAGUUUCGCGUCUCUCCACUGAUAAGGUAAUUUUCCAUUCUGCGCACCCUAGGGUUUUACUCAUGCAAAGGUUCUACCUUUCAAGUAGAGUUAUUUUUAUUUUCCUUUUCCUAUCAAGUUCUAAAGACUAUGCUCUACACCAAUUUGGUGGCUUGUAGGUACUAUCGGAAUUACCGGUGCGGAGGUACUGUUAGGACGCUUUUAGGAACUGUGCUGUGAGAACCAAAAGGUAAGGGGAGCUAGUUAAGAUUUGGAUUGUAUGAGUAUUAUUUUAUAGAGCAUGUUUCCCUCGUUCGCAUAAUGUAUUUAUAUAUAUAUAUAUUGUGUUGGCAUUUGCGUUUGUGGUAAUACUGAUAUGGUUUCUCCGUUCAAAUGGAUUNGUGUUGCUGGGGAGCUUUUCGCUUGAGGGCGUCAUCCUGUAACGUUAUGGGAAUAGAAAGUUUACGGGAAAUACAGUUACUUAGUAAUUCAGAAUGUNAGUGCAUUUUGGUUAUUCCAUUCCUUCCUUGAGUCAAAACAGUGAGGGUUGAUAUAUUUAUAUAUUUUUUUAUUACCUUUGUAUACGUGUUGGAGGGACCGUAGGGAUCAUGAAGUUAAACCUUUUNUUUUUACUGAAUUGUUAAAUCAGGGGAAGGUUUUGGACAUCUAGGGGAGUUUUGGGUUAUUUCAGUAUUUGGUGUGAGUUAGAAGGAGGUAGNGCGUGAGUCUUCUUUAGCCUCUAGAAGGCAUUUGCAGAACUUAAGGUGGGGUGGUCAUGGGUUUAGCUAUCGUCAUUCUUAACAGGAAGAAGAAAGGUGUGAGUGAUGCGUCUUAGUAGGUGGUUGAGUGACGAGGAGGGGAUGAGCUAAUGAGAGUGGGGUUCAAUGUGGGUAUGCAUUUCAGUUUCUAAAGAUAGUGGCUAUGGGGGAGAACCGUGAGCAUGGUUAGGGGUGUUAUCACCUGGCAGAAGGGGUUUAGUGUUAGUAUAGAAAUUAGAAAAGGAUAGAAGGAGAAUGCAUUGAGGAAGGUGACCAUCGUGCGCGUAACAUGCAGGGAGGGGCACGGUCUUAGAAGAAAGAAGAGUAGAAUUUUUGUAGAAAUUGGGUUCUGUAACAGACAAUGAGUUGAAUGCAGAGGAUGGAGAAAACUUUUUGCAUGAAAGUUAGGCAUAGUAACUUAGGUGAGAGAGAAGGAAAGUUAUGAUGGAGAAAGUGAGGAUGUGUAGAGACCCUGUGGGUCCCACGCAAAUUAAAGAGAAAAAAAAUAAAUAUUCAUGAUGCAAUGGUGAUGGGUGUACGUGAGAAAAUUAGUUUGGAGGAAAAAGUGUGAAAGUGAUGACUUAAGUGGGGUCUACCUUAAAAUAUCAAAAAAAAAUAUUUAUAAUAGUUCAACGUGUGCAGGGAAUGAAUUUACCAUUGUAUAAUGGCAAUGGGUGAUAAUAUAUUAUAAUGUAUUUUAUAUAUUAUAUGAUGUAUAAUAUGCUAAAGUCAUUCUUUUAUUUGUCUGGAAUUGUUCAAAAUUUAGAAACGUUAGUUAACUUAGUUUUAUUUAACAUUAUAUUAUAAUAUAUAAAUAUUAGAAUGGUUUUAUUUAAUAAUUAUAUAAUAUAAAUAUAUAUAUAUAUAUAUAUAUAUAUAUAUAUAUAUAUAAAUUAGAAUUAUUAAGUUUAACGUGUGAUUAAACUUUACUGUUAUAAAAUUAAAUUAUAUAAUAACAUAAUAGUUUGUUGUUUUGUUAGUAGAUACGAAUAAGUUAAAAGAUGUCACAGACGAUUUUCAUAAUUUAAUCUGAAGAAUUAUUAUGUAUAUGUUGAUGGUGGUAAAAAGUAUAUGAUUACAAAGUGAUGAAAGUACGAAUCAAGUGGUAAACCAAAUUCCAUCUGUGUAGAAUCUCUUGGUGAGAUUCUUNGUGUUUUAGAAUGAAAGUAGGAGCUCAGUCUUGGGGUCUUCUUGACGCUCCAAUGGUCAAUCAAACUCACUUAGAGAGGUUGAACCAUGUGGUGAGGAGUAGCAGGAGGUCUUAGUCUUGGAGGCCUUCCAUCAUGCUCCAAGGCGCGGAACAAACUAACCUCAUGAGUGGCAGGGCGGGGGAGCCCAGGGUGGGGGAGCCUAAGUAUCACAAGCCACCACGGGUGCAUGACCCGCCAUAGCUCGACUAUCAUUCUAAAGUCCGGACGAGUCAAGUCUAGAAGAUAAUAUGUUAGGAUCUAUGUCAUGUAUUGUCUAGUUUGCAUACUUUUGACUUGAGAUUAAUUUUGAUAUGUAUAUGUGAAUAUAAUUGCAUGUCUUUAUAUAGUUAGCUUACCCUUGCAUUUGGUUGUGUUGUGCUAUGUCUGCGUGUUUUCUCUUGUGAUGAUCAUCCAUUUUGGAUGGGAGCAGAUGGCGAGGAUGUUACUCUGGAGACAGUCUUGGAGGAGAACAGCGAUGCAGCUGCUUAGUUCUGCUAGGAGAUUUCAUGACCCCCUUAUGUUAUCUACAAACAAUUCCUUCUUAUGUUAUUCUGAAAUACUUUAGUGCUUCAAGUUUUAAAUUCCUACUCAAUUUGGAUAACUGUAAUCCCUAUACUCAAGACUCUUAACUGNNNGUCUGCACUCCAACUGCUUUCUUUAUUAUAAUGAAUGACGUCUUAUUAUUAUAUGCAUGACGAAUAUUCUUGGGAUGUCACAUUUUACACUUACAAGUUUUUUAUUUUUCAAAACACAACAACAAAUAUUCUAAUAUCUGCC
Molecule: long non-coding RNA, 3451 nt
Filed under: Vigna radiata
Lineage: Eukaryota; Viridiplantae; Streptophyta; Magnoliopsida; Fabales; Fabaceae
Description: long non-coding RNA (VRAD_LNC005841)
Source: RNAcentral